Molecule: ribosomal RNA, 571 nt
Filed under: Enterococcus sp.
Lineage: Bacteria; Bacillati; Bacillota; Bacilli; Lactobacillales; Enterococcaceae
Description: bacterial SSU rRNA
Rfam family: Bacterial small subunit ribosomal RNA
Source: RNAcentral
ACCUGAUGGGGUGGACGGCCACACUGGGACUGAGACGCGGGCCAGACUCCUACGGGAGGCAGCAUGAGGGAAUCUUCGGCGAUGGACGGAAGUCUGACCGAACAACGCCGCGUGAGUGAAGAAGGUUUUCGGAUCGUAAAACUCUGUUGUUAGAGAAGAACUAGGACGUUAGUAACUGAACGUCCCCUGACGGUAUCUAACCAGAAAGCCACGGCUAACUACGUGCCAGCAGCCGCGGUAAUACGUAGGUGGCAAGCGUUGUCCGGAUUUAUUGGGCGUAAAGCGAGCGCAGAGCUGUUUCUUACGUCUGAUGUGAAAGCCCCCGGCUCAACCGGGGAGGGUCAUUGGAAACUGGGAGACUUGAGUGCUGAAGAGGAGACUGGAAUUCCAUGUGUAACGGUGAAAUGCAUAGAUAUAUGGAGGAACACCAGUGGCGAAAGCGGCUCUCUGGUCUGUAACUGACGCUGAGGCUCCAAAGCGUGGGGAGCAGACAGGAUUAGAUACCCUGGUAGUCCACGCCGUAAACGAUGAGUGCUAAGUGUUGCAGGGUUUCCGCCCUUCUUUGCUGCAC